This 438-nucleotide ribosomal RNA is filed under the name uncultured bacterium. RNAcentral's name for it is "bacterial SSU rRNA". It matches the Rfam family "Bacterial small subunit ribosomal RNA", at positions 74 to 507 of the family's 1533-position model. The record is from RNAcentral.
UCUAGCUUGCUAGAAGAUGACGAGCGGCGGACGGGUGAGUAACGCGUAGAAAUCUACCUAGUAGUGGGGGAUAGCCCAGAGAAAUUUGGAUUAACACCGCAUACGCCUACGGGGGAAAGCGGGGGAUCUUCGGACCUCGUGCUAUUAGAUGAGUCUGCGUCGGAUUAGCUUGUUGGUGAGGUAAUGGCUCACCAAGGCGACGAUCCGUAGCUGGUCUGAGAGGAUGACCAGCCACACUGGAACUGAGACACGGUCCAGACUCCUACGGGAGGCAGCAGUGGGGAAUAUUGCACAAUGGGCGCAAGCCUGAUGCAGCCAUGCCGCGUGUGUGAAGAAGGCCUUAGGGUUGUAAAGCACUUUCAGCAGUGAGGAAAGGGGUGUCGUUAAUAGCGCCAUCCUGUGACGUUAACUGCAGAAGAAGGACCGGCUAACUCCGUG